RNAcentral lists this ribosomal RNA (107 nucleotides) under Oryza sativa Indica Group (long-grained rice). Lineage: Eukaryota; Viridiplantae; Streptophyta; Magnoliopsida; Poales; Poaceae. The record is from RNAcentral.
GGAUGCGAUCAUACCAACACUAAAGCACCGGAUCCCAAGUUAAGCGUGCUUGGGCGAGAGUAGUACUAGGAUGGGUGACCUCCUGGGAAGUCCUCGUGUUGCAUCCC